GAUGAACGCUAGCUACAGGCUUAACACAUGCAAGUCGAGGGGAAACGAUGAGAGAGCUUGCUCUCUUAGUCGUCGACCGGCGCACGGGUGAGUAACGCGUAUCCAACCUGCCUCUGACCAAGGGAUAACCCGUCGAAAGUCGGACUAAUACCUUAUGCAGUCGUCGGAAGUCAUCUGAUGACGACGAAAGAUUUCAUCGGUGAGAGAUGGGGAUGCGUCUGAUUAGCUUGUUGGCGGGGUAACGGCCCACCAAGGCGACGAUCAGUAGGGGUUAUGAGAGGAAGGUCCCCCACAUUGGAACUGGGACACGGUCCAAACUGCUACGGGAGGCAGCAGUGAGGAAUAUUGGGCAAUGGGCGUAAGCCUGAACCAGCCAAGUAGCGGGCAGGAUGACGGCCCUAUGGGUGGUAAACUGCUUUUAUGCGGGGAUAAAGUGAGGGACGUGUCCUUCAUUGAAGGUACCGAAUGAAUAAGGACCGGCUAAUUCCGUG
Molecule: ribosomal RNA, 491 nt
Filed under: uncultured bacterium
Lineage: Bacteria
Description: partial 16S ribosomal RNA
Rfam family: Bacterial small subunit ribosomal RNA
Source: RNAcentral